This 253-nucleotide ribosomal RNA is filed under the name uncultured bacterium. RNAcentral's name for it is "partial 16S ribosomal RNA". It matches the Rfam family "Bacterial small subunit ribosomal RNA", at positions 524 to 776 of the family's 1533-position model. The record is from RNAcentral.
UACGGAGGGUGCAAGCGUUGCUCGGAAUUAUUGGGCGUAAAGGGCAAGUAGGUGGUCUCAUUUGUCUGGGGUGAAAGCCUUGAGCUUAACUCAAGAAGUGCCCCGGAAACGGUGAGACUCGAGUACUGGAGAGGGUCGUGGAAUUCCCGGUGUAGCGGUGAAAUGCGUAGAGAUCGGGAGGAACACCUGAGGCGAAGGCGGCGACCUGGACAGUUACUGACACUCAACUGCGAAAGCGUGGGGAGCAAACAGG